CCAGACUUUGAUCAUGGCUCAGGAUGAACGCUAGCUACAGGCUUAACACAUGCAAGUCGAGGGGAAACGACAUUGAAAGCUUGCUUUCGAUGGGCGUCGACCGGCGCACGGGUGAGUAACGCGUAUCCAACCUGCCCAUCACUUGGGGAUAACCUUGCGAAAGUAAGACUAAUACCCAAUGACGUCUCUAGAAGACAUCUGAAAGAGAUUAAAGAUUUAUCGGUGAUGGAUGGGGAUGCGUCUGAUUAGCUUGUUGGCGGGGUAACGGCCCACCAAGGCUACGAUCAGUAGGGGUUCUGAGAGGAAGGUCCCCCACAUUGGAACUGAGACACGGUCCAAACUCCUACGGGAGGCAGCAGUGAGGAAUAUUGGUCAAUGGACGAGAGUCUGAACCAGCCAAGUAGCGUGCAGGAUGACGGCCCUAUGGGUUGUAAACUGCUUUUAUAAGGGAAUAAAGUGAGUCUCGUGAGACUUUUUGCAUGUACCUUAUGAAUAAGGACCGGCUAAUUCCGUGCCAGCAGCCGCGGUAAUACGGAAGGUCCGGGCGUUAUCCGGAGUUAUUGGGUUUAAAGGGAGCGUAGGCCGGAGAUUAAGCGUGUUGUGAAAUGUAGACGCUCAACGUCUGCACUGCAGCGCGAACUGGUUUCCUUGAGUACGCACAAAGUGGGCGGAAUUCGUGGUGUAGCGGUGAAAUGCUUAGAUAUCACGAAGAACUCCGAUUGCGAAGGCAGCUCACUGGAGCGCAACUGACGCUGAAGCUCGAAAGUGCGGGUAUCGAACAGGAUUAGAUACCCUGGUAGUCCGCACGGUAAACGAUGGAUGCCCGCUGUUGGUCUGAAUAGGUCAGCGGCCAAGCGAAAGCAUUAAGCAUCCCACCUGGGGAGUACGCCGGCAACGGUGCAACUCAAAUGAAUUGACGGA
Molecule: ribosomal RNA, 921 nt
Filed under: uncultured organism
Description: bacterial SSU rRNA
Rfam family: Bacterial small subunit ribosomal RNA
Source: RNAcentral